AAAACAUAGCUAUAAGAAUUGAAUACACAUAUUAAAAUUUUAUAGUGGGAUCUGGUCAGUGAAAAUUAAUUUUUUUAAACACACGCCUUAGCGUGAGGGUGAUAAUGUAGCAUAAUAAAUUGACAUUUAAUUGAUGUCUGGUAUGAAUGAUGAAACGAUUUUAAUUUUGUCUUUUUUUUAAAAAUAUUAAAUUUUAAAUAAUAGUUAAGAUGCUAUUUUCAACUUGUUAGACGAAAAGACCCUAUAAACCUUUACUUUUUAAAUUAUAUAUUAAUUAAUUAUUUUUAAUAAGACAUAUUUUUUAUUUAAAGUUUAGCUGGGGCGGCUUUCUUCUAAUAUAUAAAAAAAAAACGAAGAAAUUUUUUAAAACCUAUUUAAAAUUUUAUUUUUUAGUGAGAUGUUUAUAAUAUAUUAUUAUACAGUGUUAAAAACGAAUUACAAGACCACUCUUAUAUUAUCAAUUAAGAUUAUUAAUAAAUAAAAGGUACUUUAGGGAUAACAGCGUUAUUUUUUGAUAGAGAUCAUAUUAAUCUAAAAGUUUGCGACCUCGAUGUUGAAUUAAGAUAUCCAGAAGGGGUAAAAAUUUUCAAAGGUUGGAUUGUUCAUCCAUUAAAAUCUUACAUG
RNAcentral lists this ribosomal RNA (624 nucleotides) under Crossota millsae. Its description in RNAcentral is "partial large subunit ribosomal RNA". It matches the Rfam family "Bacterial large subunit ribosomal RNA", at positions 1810 to 2602 of the family's 2925-position model. The record is from RNAcentral. Lineage: Eukaryota; Metazoa; Cnidaria; Hydrozoa; Trachymedusae; Rhopalonematidae.